This 376-nucleotide ribosomal RNA is filed under the name uncultured bacterium. Its description in RNAcentral is "partial 16S ribosomal RNA". It matches the Rfam family "Bacterial small subunit ribosomal RNA", at positions 331 to 724 of the family's 1533-position model. The record is from RNAcentral.
CCAGACUCCUACGGGAGGCAGCAGUGGGGGAUAUUGCACAAUGGAGGAAACUCUGAUGCAGCGACGCCGCGUGAGGGAAGACGGUCUUCGGAUUGUAAACCUCUGUCUUUGGGGAAGAAAAUGACGGUACCCAAAGAGGAAGCUCCGGCUAACUACGUGCCAGCAGCCGCGGUAAUACGUAUGGAGCAAGCGUUAUCCGGAUUUACUGGGUGUAAAGGGAGCGUAGGCGGCCUGCCAAGUCUGAUGUGAAAUACCGCGGCUCAACCCCGGAGCUGCAUUGGAAACUGGCAGGCUGGAGUGUCGGAGAGGCAGGCGGAAUUCCUAGUGUAGCGGUGAAAUGCGUAGAUAUUACGAGGAACACCAGUGGCGAAGGCGG